Bombyx mori (domestic silkworm) is the source of this 84-nucleotide non-coding RNA. The record is from Rfam. NCBI's taxonomy places the organism in Eukaryota, Metazoa, Arthropoda, Insecta, Lepidoptera, Bombycidae.
UUAGCUCAUAUUUGUAUGGAAUGGGAUCAUUUGCCUACGUUUGCCGCUAGGGGCGCUGUUCCAGCUGCAUACAAAAUUGGGCUA